Chenopodium quinoa (quinoa) is the source of this 1825-nucleotide long non-coding RNA. RefSeq lists it as uncharacterized. The transcript is spliced from 2 exons. NCBI's taxonomy places the organism in Eukaryota, Viridiplantae, Streptophyta, Magnoliopsida, Caryophyllales, Amaranthaceae. The record is from RefSeq and is a predicted model, not a curated record.
GUAAUUUGUAGAUGAAUGAAUGGGAAUGCAUAAGCUCCCUAUGAUGGAUGGAAUGAAAUUGAAGGUGGUGGUGAUAGCCAGAGCUCAGUGGUGUGGUGGGGGGGGGACCCAUAAUCCUCAUCUCAUACUAUCUGCUCAGCUUCAACUGUCCUCGUCUCUUUUGUCUUUUUCUUCAACCCUUUCUUUUUUUCUUUUUCAAAACAAUAUUUACUUGUAUUUUAAUUUUAAUAAAAAAAAAUUAAAGUAGAAGAGAGAAGUUUCACUCUCAUGAGUCAUGACCCCGGCGUUAUUAUAACCACCCCCCUCACAAUCCGCUUGCUUACUCAUUCUCAUUCUCUCAUCCUUUUCUUUCUUCUCUCCUUUGUUUUUUUUCUCUCUCCUUCCCCCUUCAACUAAGCCGUUUUUCUUGGGGGUGCUCUUCAGAUCACUCAUCACGCACCCUAUAAAUCCAAAUUCAUAAAACCAAAUUCAUUCAACCAAUUGGCCCUGGGUUGGAAGCAAUUGAGUUGAGGGGAAUGUUGUCUGGCUCGAGGACGAGGACCCGCCUUUUCACCGUCGUCGGACCAGGCUUCAUUCCCCCUAAUUUUAUCUGCUUCCCUUACACCUCUUUUUCCUCCUUCUCAGGAUUCUAGAGAAUCAGUGCACUCGAUUUAAUGAGGCUUUGUUUAUUGCAACUUUAUUAUCUUUACUGACGUUCUCUGGGUUUUAAUUGCCUCAUGAGUCAUUACUUAUCUAUCCUAUACUUAUUCAAUUAAUAAUCAACUAUCUUUUACCUCUCAACUCCGUAGUUAUCACGGAGUACUGUACAUUUACUUGUCUAGCUGAUUGCCGAACAGCUAACAAACUCUUAUGUUAAGCACAUAAUAAUCGUCCUUUGUUAAUUGCCUAACUAUACUAGUACCAUUAAACGAAACUAUUAACCAACUUUGUUGUGCUUAUUAAGACUAAUGUUAUUAAUUAAACACAUUAUAAUCGUCCUCUAUUAGUUGCCUAUCUGUAUUAGUACUAUUAAACCAAUGAAACCCUCACCCAUAUAAUUGCGAGAUAAAAAGGAUGAGAAAACAAGUCAAUGAAAAGAACCCCUAGUAAAGAGAAAGAUGGGUAGGUGAAGCAGCUUUCUAUUGAAGAAUGUAGUACUACAGAAACAUGGGUAAAAACUGUUACAAAGUGGGUUAAAAAUGGUGUGGGUACAGAUUACCAUGCUCUCUAUCUUUUUGCUAAAAGCCUACAACUUAACUCUUUACAACAUUACUUUCUCUCUUAUUUUACCCUUUUUUUUAUAUAAAUUUAUUUAGUGAAGGGGUUAAAUAAGCUACUCAACGUGUGACAUGCUGUGAUGAGAAAACACAGACAGAAAAAGAAAAAAAAAAAAGGUAAACAGUUGAUAUGAAAAGAUAAGAGCGGAAGUUUUUAUGCACUACACUACUCAGAAUAUAUAGGUUGGUAUUAUGGUAUAGUAUUGUCUCUUGUUUUGUGUUACAGAAUGCAGGGCAGUACGUACAAUUACACUGAGGCAGGCAGCUGAUUGAUGAGAAACAAACAGAAUUGUACAGCUUAUAUGUAAUUAUGUCCUAGGAUUUCAUCCUUAAAUUGCUAAUUUCAUAUGAUUUGUUUUGUUAUUGGUUAAAUUGUGUCAAGGUAUGAUGAUCUGAGGAGCGAAACAUUAGUUUAAUUAGUGAUCAAUCACUAGAUUGACUGUGUAUAUGUAAAUUUGAAAAGUUACAUUAUGUAAUAUGUUGGUGCAAUGCCACAAAUCUUUGUUUGGGAUGGUACUGUUGUUUGGAUUACGAAACAAGAUUUGAAUUAUUAAUUAUGAUGUUGAACA